CGUAGGGACCGAGCGUUGUCCGGAUUCGAUUGGGCGUAAAGAGCUCGUAGGCGGCCACUCAAGUCGAAUGUGAAACCUCGAGGCUUAACCUCGAGCCUGCAUUCGAUACUGGGCGGCUAGAGUCUGGUAGGGGGAUCUGGAAUUCCUGGUGUAGCGGUGGAAUGCGCAGAUAUCAGGAGGAACACCGGUGGCGAAGGCGGGAUCCUGGGCCAGUACUGACGCUGAGGAGCGAAAGCGUGGGGAGCAAACAGGAUUAGAUACCCUGGUAGUCCACGCCGUAAACGAUGGGCGCUAGGUGUGGGAGGUCAUCGACUCCUUCCGUGCCGCAGCUAACGCAUUAAGCGCCCCGCCUGGGGAGUACGGCCGCAAGGCUA
Molecule: ribosomal RNA, 374 nt
Filed under: uncultured organism
Description: bacterial SSU rRNA
Rfam family: Bacterial small subunit ribosomal RNA
Source: RNAcentral